Molecule: long non-coding RNA, 2001 nt
Filed under: Chrysemys picta bellii (western painted turtle)
Lineage: Eukaryota; Metazoa; Chordata; Testudines; Emydidae
Description: lncRNA (ENSCPBG00000018900.1)
Source: RNAcentral
GAAUGGAGUUUCUGAAUGUCUGUCGAAUGGCUCAGAAGUGAAUCUGGAAUUAGAUCAAGCACAGAAAGAUCUCAUGGGUCAGGGAAAUGUUUCUCUGGAGCAGAUUAAAGUGGAGGAUCAGGUUAAAGGCCUAACUGAGGAGGGAAAGGGGAGAUUUUUAAUGGGUGAUGGAUUGUGGGCUAGUACCGCUUGUAAAAGUGAACUUGAAAAAGGUAACUGUGAUUUGCUAAAAGUAGCUCAGUGUAGUGAGAAGAGCAGCAGUUUAUUGGUUGGGAGUAGCUGUGUGUCUGGUAAGGAAGAAGGUGUCUCCAGCUCUUCUUAGUCUGUGGGGAAGACAGAAGGGGCCUUUCAGCCUGUGAUGGUUGAGAAUAGUGCAGUUGUCUCAGAGUUGGUUCUGGAUUCAACUAAAGCCCAGGAAGGGAAUGGUCCUAAGUCUGUGUCUGCUGGAGAGAAUGGCACCAUAACUAGGUUGCAUCCAGUUAGUGUCUUAGCAAAAUCCCAGAGACCAGACAAUUCUGGUGCUUGUAUUUUACCUGUUGCUCAUGUGUGGCUGGAAAAGGGUGUAGCAACUCUGUCUGAUCAGGGUGAUAUCCUAGCCAGGGGGCAAGGAGAGCAGAAAGAUAAUUUAAUUGUGUUACCUACUGAUGGUGUGGAAACUUGUAGCAAGAAGGAAAGGAUUCCUGAACUUGUGUGUGGCAAAGGGAAGGAAAAUGUUUCUAACCUUUUAUCUAAUGAGUCUAUGGGUUUGCCUGAAAGGGGAUUGUGUAGAAAUCUGCCUGAUGGGCCAAAGGUGAUCCUAAAUGUGAGUAAGACCCAGACAGAGUCUGUUGUUGCUCAGGGAAGUGUUCCUUUAGAGCAAGCCCUAGGUGAAGAGGGUAAGAGCAGAAUUUCUGUGAGGGGUGAAACGUUGCUUAGAGAAGCUGCUAAGGAAAGAAAUCCUCAUGGUAAUCUGUGCAAGCAGCUUGCUACAGCUAAAGGAUGUGAGAGUGAUUUAAUCAAGGAAGUUUCAGUUCCUAACAGCCAGACAUUUUCUGUUGUGAAUGGAUCCACUGACUUUCCUUUCGAAAGAUCCAGUGUGGGUAGCUCUGAGAAGGUCUCAGAUGGAGUAAGAGCUGUUAAGAAAGUUGAGCAGCCCUAUAACCGAGUGGCUGUGUGUGGCCAGCUUGUUGGGAAGACAAUGGUGUUGGGACAGGAAUGUCUCCAUUCUAAUUCGUUAAGUGAGCAGUCUGUGCUUCAGGGUCUGAGGACAGAUUUGGUUACUGGUGUUUUAAAGCAGAGCAGUUUUAUGGCUAAAUGCUUGAGGAUGCAGGGGAGAGCAAGCAAACUCUCACCCGCAGACUCCUUGGAUUUGUGUGGUAUCUCUUUAAGACAGAGUCCAGCCUUGGAAAUGAUAGCAGUUAAGGCUAUGGAAACUGGUGGACUGGCUCCUGUCUGUGGUAAUGCAAAUUACUUGCCUGGCUGGGAGGGGAAGGACUUGCUAAUAGCUGUUAGCACAGAGGGCCCACCCCAUCAGCCAGUGAAUUCUGUUAAGCAACAGAAAUCAGGGUUUGAUCCUGCAGGACAAGGAGGAAAGAGAAAACUGAAUUUUGCACAGGGAAGCCACAGGUUAACCCUAAAAUGCUCAAACUCCAAUGGUAUUGAGCCGAAGUUGUGGCAUGACAACCAUGAUUGUAGAUGGACACUUGCAAUAAAUUUGUUGUUAAUGCUAAUGGUGAUUUUUAUAAUGAAUGUGUUGCUAUUACCAAAAACUGUAAAAAUGUACAAUGUGCCUAAUCUUUUGGAGAAUCCCUUGAACAUGUUAAAAGGAAUACAUGAAAACACACUUUAUGUUAAAAGGCCUUGUUACAUUGGUGUUUCACAGUUAAUGCCUGUAAACAGUAUUGGAACUUUUCACAGGGGAAAAGACAUUCCAAACCUAAUGUGCUGUAUGAAAAGGAAGAACAGGAGUACUUGUGGCACCUUAGAGACUAACAAAUUUAUUAGAGCAUAAGCUUUCGUGGA